CUGACAAUAGUUGUCAUGAUAAGCAGUAAGCGAAUGGCAUACAAAAAUGAAAUGGUACAGAAUUGAGAGGAGACAUGAUGGGCUAGGCUUGAGCUCCCAAUAAAUGGAAAGGUUUGUGAUGCCAUGCAUUCCUCUCCAGUCCUCUGAACAACAUAUCAGACAGAUGGGAAGAAGCACUGAAACUGGAGACAAGGAGCAUCAGUGUUACCAUAGAUUGGGUCAAGAAUAAAAGUCUGUAUUGGCAAAAUGAAGCUGGGAAACUGGGCAUAGUAUCUGCUUUCACGAAACAAAAAUGCUGUUUCAGUCACACUCCUGGAAUUUGAGACUGACAAGAGAGUCUUUAGAGAUACGUGUGAGAAGUAAUAUGCUGAACCCUGAAGAAGGGCAAAGACUUAGUGAUUCAUGGCUUCCUAUAAUUGACCUCAUUAGGAGAGCAAACUGCAGUGUCAGGAGCAGCUCAGGAGAUCAUGGCCUUCAUGACAACCACAGAGCUGGCCCCCACUUAGUAUCUGG
Molecule: non-coding RNA, 513 nt
Organism: Pogona vitticeps (central bearded dragon)
Lineage: Eukaryota; Metazoa; Chordata; Lepidosauria; Squamata; Agamidae
Source: RefSeq, a predicted model, not a curated record